RNA transcript from Hylaeus volcanicus, 2001 nucleotides. RefSeq lists it as uncharacterized. NCBI's taxonomy places the organism in Eukaryota, Metazoa, Arthropoda, Insecta, Hymenoptera, Colletidae. The transcript has 4 exons. The record is from RefSeq and is a predicted model, not a curated record.
UUGGAUUCCUUGAAAUUUUUUCAAAGUGACAAUAUAAAAAAAAAGUUUAAAGAUAAUGUUGGGCGUUUGUAUUUUUUUCUAAACUUUCAACUAGACAAUUUUUUUGCUUUUCAAUUUUACCCCCACAAACAAAAUAAAAAUUAGUAAAAAAAAUAAAUCGGUUGGUACUUUUUUUCUUAAUUCUGUUUCUAACUUCAUAAACAACAUUUCUUAUUAUGCUAUUUUUGGAUUACUGAUAUUCUAUUUAUAGUUUUUUUUUAGAUUAAUAUGAUAAACAAUUCACCGAAUGAAAUUGACGUAGUGCAAGAUGUGCAUUCGGUUUUGACUCCCAAAAGGCUAGUAGAACAAGAUUAUCCUGUUCCAAACAAGUUAUAUAAAAAAAAGAUACUUUUAGAAAAAUUUCGGUAUCCUUAUCACUAUAAGCAUUGCUUUGCCGGAAAAAAUGGUAUCAUUCAUUUCAAUAUAACAGGAAAUAUAGAUAACCCUAUUGUAUGUUGUGAUUUAAUCUUUUAAAUGAAAGUUUGAAUAGUUUUUUAGGUUUCCACAAUUUUUAUAAAAAUCGAAAGUAUUGUGUGAUAUCUUUUGACUUGUACGGUCAUGGACUUUCAGCUAAUGUUCCCUAUCGUCGUAGUGAAUAUUUAUUUUUUUUUAAAAAGCCAAAUGCUACCUAUACUUUACGUUUUUUUGUUGAGGUUAUCUUGUAUUUUAUUUAAAAACAUAUUUUUUUUUGAAAAUUUUUCUCUACGUUUAGCAAGCAAAACAACUUAUUGAUCAUUUAGGAGUUUCUUCUUCACGCAACGAUCUAACGUUGGUUGGCUUCUCCAUGGGUAAAUGAUUUCAAAUAACGCGAAAACCUUAUUUUUUUUUUUUUUGAAAAACAAAAGGAGGGAUAAUAGCAUUAUCCUUUGCACUUUAUUAUCCGUCAUAUGUUCAACGCAUAUUCUUAAUCUGUUCCGCUGGGUUUAUGAAAACAAAACCUCCUUUUCGUGUCAAAUUACUAAAGCAGUUCAGCUGCUGUAUUCAUCCUAUUUCGUCUCUUUGUAUUUGCUCCUUUGCGCAAAAAAAAAAAAAAUUUUUUAAGGUAAUAUAUUUUCCUAUAAUGAAAACGUCACAUGUUAUUCCUUCAGCAAUUUACACAUAAGGAAAUUGAAAACGGAACAGCUGAAAGUUUAUGGACACUACAUAUUUGGAACCUUUAUAUAAAGAAGGGAUUUAUUGAAUCUUUUUUAGGUUGCGUUCUAGAACUCCCUCUAUGGCAUGCUCCUUUUCUUUUUUCUAUGGUGCUCCUGUCAAUUGUUCUAAUUGACGUUUUUUUUAUGUACUACCCCUUUUUUCUAUCUCUUAUAGGUUGGCCAAUUGGAUAUACCAGUGUUAUGUAUUUGGGGAGAAAACGAUAAAAUUGUUCCACCCAUGCCGUGCGACGUUGUGCAGAAUUAUAUCCCCAAUAGCUUUUCUUUAACGAUUCCUCAAGGAACUCAUCUCCUUAUAAAUGAAAAGUCGACUAUCAUCUUCAAGUUACUCACAAAAUUUUUAAAUGUUCGUCAAGGGGAAAUCGUCGAUGUUUGGAGUCGUUUCAUUUAAAUCGAGGAUGAUCAUUUUUUCAUUGAAUAAUCAACACGCUACCAUUUCAUUUUCUUAUACAUUAACGCCUUUAAAGAAUUUUCAAAUUAUUUUUUUUUAAUAGAAGACGUUGUGAGGAACCAAAAAAAAAUAGGUAGCAAAGUAUAACAGAUGUUGUUAUUUAUUAAAAGGUAACGACUUACUGUAAAACGUGUACUGGAAACUCAUUGAGCAUUGAAAUAUAUUUAACCUUUUUUAAUAAUCAAUUACUGGUUAUAUAUAGAUAGUCAAAAAAACGUUUUCACAAACACACUUUCAAUGCACACAUUGCAUCCAAAAAUGCACAAUUACAUUUCUGUGAACGCUUAGAUGGUCGCUCCAAAAAGAAGCAUGAUAUCAAGGUUGUGUGGUGUAGUGGUUAGCACUUUAGACUUUGAAUCU